AGUGGGGAAUAUUGGACAAUGGGCGCAAGCCUGAUCCAGCCACGCCGCGUGAGUGAUGAAGGCCUUCGGGUCGUAAAGCUCUGUGGGGAGGGACGAACCGCCUUUGGUGCAUAGCCAAGGGCAUGACGGUACCUCCUUAGCAAGCACCGGCUAACUUCGUGCCAGCAGCCGCGGUAAUACGAAGGGUGCAAACGUUGCUCGGAAUCAUUGGGCGUAAAGCGCACGUAGGCGGCUAUUCAAGUCGGAUGUGAAAUCCCUCGGCUCAACCAAGGAAGUGCAUCCGAAACUGGGUAGCUUGAGUACCAAAGAGGAACGCGGAAUUCCCGGUGUAGAGGUGAAAUUCGUAGAUAUCGGGAGGAACACCAGUGGCGAAGGCGGCGUUCUGGGUGGAUACUGACGCUGAGGUGCGAAAGCGUGGGGAGCAAA
RNAcentral lists this ribosomal RNA (426 nucleotides) under uncultured Haliangium sp. RNAcentral describes it as "bacterial SSU rRNA". It matches the Rfam family "Bacterial small subunit ribosomal RNA", at positions 353 to 772 of the family's 1533-position model. The record is from RNAcentral. Lineage: Bacteria; Pseudomonadati; Myxococcota; Haliangiales; Kofleriaceae.